This 1679-nucleotide long non-coding RNA is filed under the name Coffea arabica (coffee). RNAcentral describes it as "long non-coding RNA (CARA_LNC007977)". Lineage: Eukaryota; Viridiplantae; Streptophyta; Magnoliopsida; Gentianales; Rubiaceae. The record is from RNAcentral.
UGGGACGUAGGAUAAUGCAGGCUCAGGCAUGGAGGCCAUGAUUGAUGGUCUGGAGAAGGUCUCUUCCUCUGGGACAGGGUCUUCAGCCUUGAAGUCAAGGGAAGCAUCAUUGUAGACAUCCCACCAUUUCUGAACUAACAUCUUGAUAUCUUCUCUGUCCAUAUUAGCUUCUUUGCCUGUGUACCUCCAUGGUUUUGAUCCCUAUUUCAUUGAAUAAUACCAGAUAAAUGUCAUAAAAGUUAGCAAGGACUAUCGUUCAUUGCUGCCAAUAGAUAAAAAGCGUGCAUAUAUAGGGGAAUUGCAUACCGCAGCGCAGUAGUGAACCACUUUAACUUCAUCGAGUUCCACGUUCUCCGGAUGGCGCCAAAGCAUCGCUAGAACCAAAUUGUACGCCAAAGAAAUGGGUUUGUACGUAGUUUGGAAGAACAUGUUCAAGAAAUCCUGUUCCACAUCCAGGUAGAAAAAUUGUACCAUCAGUAUUUAAAACUUGGUCCGUGGUGCAUGAAGUAUGGAUUCUAGUUCUUGACCUUUUCUAACCGAAGUUAGAGCUACGAUUUUUACAAACCUAAACUCCAGAAGAACCUCCAAACCUAACCGAAGUAUGGAUUCUAGUUAAGACCACGGAAAAGGUAUUAAGUGGUAGUCAAAUUAGAUAGUCAAAGGAGAGAGAAUAAAUGGAUGUGGCCGCAAAGAUGUAUCAGACCUGCUCUGCAAAUAGUGUUGGCGGAGUGAUUUGGAGAGUUUCAAGCAGAUUUUCGUAGGUCAAACGGCUGGGCUCAAAGACAAACAUGCCAGCGUUGAAAUACAGAGGAGGAGGUGAACCCAUAUCAGCUGGCCAGGUAACUUUGUCCGGGCACUGUUGGCAAUAUCCAAUGGAGUACUGUGGGGAAUUACUCCAUGUCUUCUCGCAGAAGCAAUCCAUCACUGCAUAAAAGUAUCCAUCUGCUGCGUCAAACAGAUGGUCGAUGUUGUCAUAAACUUGGAUGUCUGCGUCUAGGUAGAUCAUCUUGCUGUACUCCUCAAACUGUCAUGACCACAGUUAUUUGAUUAGUCACUCCUAAUAGUAACCCAAAUAUGAUUGCUCUAAAAUACAAAACAGAAAUGCUAGAACGGCUUAAACAUAGAGCUGUGGAUUAAGGAUUACUGUAACAUAUUAUAGCAUCACUCCUGAUUAUAUAGAUAGAGUGUGGCGGUGAUGGUUUUUUUCUUUUAUUGUUGUGGUGAAAUAAUGAAAUUAGGAUAUAAAAGGAUAUUUUCUGGCUUUUGCGUUUCUCAGCCUUUGUCUUGGGGCUUCUUUGUUUCUUAAGGAAGAUUCUAUCUAUCAAGUGCAGGUCAAGCUUAACCUAAGCUGAUCCAAGUGACAUGGGCCAUAGAAGAUUUUGGCACACAAACAGGAAGCAGAAACAGAUACGCUUCACUGAGUCAUGAUACCAUAGGCAGGCAAUGGCUAUGCACACAUCUGGUAGACCUAUUAGACUAAGACUUGAAAUGUUUUUCAGGUUUACUUACGUUCCAUAUGCGGAGCUUGGAAUAAUUGAUGACAUAGUAAGCCAUAGCAAACUGAAUCUGAUUUUCAGGAGGGUAAAUGGGCUCAAUUUCACGAACAAUGCAACCCUGUGACCUUAAUAUUUCCCGAUGUUCCUCGGGAACAUCUGGGAGGAUGGCAACCACAAGGGGGU